UAAGAAUGGUGAUGAGGAUGACAGAGGAAUAGAAGCAAUAGAUAUGUGUGUGGCUGUGAUCUUCAAGACCUCAGCUAAAUAGGAAGUCAGGUCUAUCAACCAUGAUGUUAUCUGAGGUUCUCUUUGAAGUCUAGAUGCACCUGAUACGGUAGGACUACAUGAAUCUAAAUCAACGGUCAUAACAUUUUAUUCUAAAAAAUUUUUUGCCAGUGUUCUGUUGGAAUUUUUUUUCUUUUCUUUUCUUUUCUUUUGUACCAAGCAUCAAACUCAGGACCUUGCACUUGCCAGGCAGGCGCAGGUGCCACUGAGCUAAAUCCUCAGCUCCUAAUUUUUAUCUUUUUAUUUUUUAGGUUCUCAGGAAGGUGAAGGUAAAAUUUUCAGUUCUUUCUGGACAUAUACCUAAAAUUCCUUAUUAUUCAUCAACUGAUGAAAAUUUGAGAGAGUCUAAAGAGUAAAAAGUAGUUUCAGAAAUGUACUGACUGUAGAAUUUAACUUUCUAAGGCUUUUCAGGUGUUGAAAUACUGGUAAAGUAUUAAAAAGCCACUUCUCUGAAGCUUUUAAAAUAACAAAGAUUUAGGAAACUGCAAGAUUACAAAUAAUGAAUUUAUACCACUACUAUUAUAUCUUUUACUUUUGGCUUUAAAUAUGGUAUCACAUUGUGGUGCAGUCAAAGGUUUAUUUCCUCUCCUGUGCUCUGAAUUUCCCACCACAGUGCAGUCUAAGAAAUGAAUGUAGCCGCAGCCUCCACCGAUGCUGUAUUCAUGGUUGCCCCGCUCCCCUCCUACUCCAUACCCUGGGAAAAAACGGCAACCUCCAUGGGAAUGAGCGCAUUUUCAGGAAAAGGGGGGUAUUUUCUUAAAGAAUGUGAAACAAACUCAUCCUUUUAUUAAAUCAAAAUGGAUUCGCUAAUGUUUAUACACAUCAAAUGGAGUUUUAUCUCUUUCCUCUUGUUCAAAGGCCCAGACAGUGCCAUUCCCUAGGGCUUGGUUCAUUUGCUCCUAAAGCAGAAGAGACAGUCCACUUUGUUCUGAAGAUUGUUAAUUUUAGGAUAUCAAGGGUCAAAGUCAUUUCAGGCUAAUUCCUAAAGUUAUACUAUAAAAUACAGGAAUGAUUCUAAGUUGUACAAAGUAUGAAAUACUGUAAUAUUUUAACUUUGACCAAAACCUUUACCUUCCUGGGUGUGUCUUUUUUGCCUAUUCAGAUUCAUAUUAAAUGCAACAUUUUUGCUGUUUAAAUUUUAAAAGUUAUGUUUAAAAAUUAACCUUAUAAUUGAACAUUUUUACUAAUACAGGAAAAAGACAGGAUUACUUUUUAAUGAAGGCCAGUCUGUUUCAGAAGGAGAUACCGCCUUCUCAGUUAAAAGAUGCUGACACUAUUUUCAAAACAAUGCCUUGAAUCUGCUGUGGUGUGGGCAGGUAGGAAUUUUGUAUGAAGCUAUUAUUCAAGUAGAAGGAACUAAGGUCAAAGGCCAAAAAAAAACAUUUAAAAGUGUAUGUCUACAGAACUGCACCUGAGAGAAAACUAGAUAAUGUCACAAACUCGUUGGAAUUUUUCCAUGAAUUAUCUGUGUGCUGUUUAGGAUGGUUGGCUAUAGGGCCAAACCAAGGUUUAGUGAAUUCACCAAACAUUUAUGGGGUGCCAAAGUAUGCAAGACCUCAAACAUCAUGGUUAGAGGUAGCAAGCCAUGCAUAUUUGAAGAACCUCCACUUACACCUCUUCCUUUUGGUUCUACUCAGAAAGCCUCCUGAAAGUGUUAUCUUUGAUUAUUCUUUGUAUUUGUGUACCUUUAUCUUAUCAGAAGAUAGACAACAUUUAUACAUAUAAAAUUAAUAAAUUACCAAACAUUCGAACAAAUAGUUCAGUACAUAAUUCAAAUACAUUUGACAUUUAUCAAAGAAAUGCUGGGUGUUAUCAUCUAGGCAGAUAGCUGGAUUAACAUUUGGGGAAAGUUAUCACCCAUUUUUGAUAGGAAUCUCAGGGAAAUGUCCUGCAUCUCAUAGUCAUUGACGAUUGUAUGAAGACUUCCUACAGUUCGGAAAUCUCUUAGAAUGGGAUCUUAGAGAAAAGCCUGCCAACUAGAGGAUUUGUUAAACCAUGGACUUUCAAGUCACCAGAAGGACAAUGAAAGAAAAACUUUUAAAUAGAGAUUGAAGAGAGGAAAAUACAGAAAAAUAAGAGGUGGGAUGCACAGAAAAAAAGAGGAAAGCAAAGGAAUAAACUACAAGCAAUUACACUCUACCAGGUACAGCAUUCACACCCCAAGCCUGACACUAGACUCUGCUGCUCCCUCUGGAAAUUGAUGUGGGCUUCAGUGCUGCUGCUGCCACAGCCAAAAUUGAGUCCCUGCAGUCUUGGCUUGUCCUGUGUCAUGCCAAGAGUCAACAGCAUCUGAAUGGUUGCACCUAGAUCACGUCUGAGCCCUAGCUGCAAGGGAGGCUGGGAAAGUGAGCAUCUGACGCCUAUGGAAUUGUUGGUCUCUGCCUCCUGUCAGUACUCAGGAGGUAGAGAAAUCCACAGCCAAGAGAUCACUUUAGAUGCUGGGUGAUGUCAAGGGUAACAGAAGGUGCAAAAAGGAUGACAAGUCCCCACUAGAACUUUCUUUCAAUACUCCUAAGCCCUAAUUAAGAGCUCCACUCAACAUGUAUCUAGGACAUGGCUGGAAAAAGCCUUGUGCUCAACUUUGAGAAGAAUUAAAUUAAAGGAAUGAUUACUAAGGGUGGGCAAGGUCUAGAGAACCACAAGAGACAGUGCAGCACUCCAGAACUGGCAACAGUAGGGAGCUUUCAACAUCCUGGGCCUGAAGAGGCAAGGGGAGGAAGCAUUUCCCAGAGCCAGAGGCAGGACUGCCUAACUGUGUGGAGAGAAUCAUUUAAAAUAAACGACCCAGCCCUGGGCACCUCCUCACCAAGAGGACAAGAGGAGCAAAUGCCACUCCUUCCUUUCCUGUGGUUCCCUGUUGAAGCUCCCCACCAGCCUGGCCAGAGACCAGAGGGCCAGGGAGCACAUGCAGGUAUGAGCUGCAGAAGAAGACUGGAGAGCAAAUGUGGAGAAAUAAACAGAAGAGGUUCUGCACUUACGGCUUCAUCGAUAUGUCACUGGCAUUUUUUCUUUUUUAAAUUCAGUAUCUCCUUUGGGGAUGUCCCUUUACAUUUUCAGUAGCUCAGCCCACAAGAUCAAUGGACUUAAAAUGUUCUUCUCAUCCUGAAUUUAACGAGAUGCUAUUUCCCCCUUGUUUGCUAUUUAGAAUGUUCUAUUGUAUGGUUCAACAAUCUGCACCAUUAAAGGUUAGCAAAUCCCAACCAGGACAUUUUUUUUCCCUUUCUGGGCUUGGGGAAAAAGGAGAAGAGGUGUGACCUGCACAGACAGCAUCAAAAAUCUCCUUUUCUGAAUCUUCCUGCAGAAAUCCUCUCUAUGUAUUGUCUCAGCACAGGAGAUUUCCUGUUGUUCAUCCCUGCCUCCUCCUCAUUAAUAUCCAGCCUUUUAAAUAAAGCAUGUACAAGAAUAGUCAAUAAAAUAAACCCCACAUGAUUACCAACAGUUGCAGGCCCAUGAGUUCCCCAAGGAUUCACCCACUGUAACCCCUCAUCCUUUGAAAGUACAUGAUAACUUGUGUUAGAGUAAUCAGUUAUUGGGCCAGGGAUUUAGCUCAGUGGUUCCAGUGCCUGCCUCCCAAGCACAAGCUCCUGAGUUUGAUCCCUGGUACCAAAAAAAAAAAGUCACCAGUUAUUUAGUUUGGGAAAGAAUACCAAGGGGAAACCUUCAUCAUCAUCUUCAAGUAUAUGAUGUGUUCCUUCCCAGAGUAUGGAAAGCAAGUGUUUUCCCUGUCCUCAAUCAAGGGAGUGAGUACAGCACGAGGAAUAAAAUAGAAAUAAAAUAAUAAAAUGGUUGCACUUUGAAACUACAAUGUUAAGUGAAAUAAAUCAGACACACAAACUUGAAUAUUGCAUAGUUUCUUUUAUGUGAGAAAUUCAAAAUUUAAAUAAAGAACAAAAUAACAGAUAAUAGGAAGAUAGAUCAUUCUCAAAUGGGAAGGGGAUUAAGAGAGAAGGAGAAGGAGGGGAGGAUGCUGAAAAAAUUAAGAUGUUUUAUGUAUGUGUACCAACUCCACACAAAAAUGUAAACAUUAUGUAUUACAAACAUACUAAUAAAAACUGAUGAAGAAAACAAGCCUACAGCUGGGCAAAAUCAUUAACCACAAAGCCUAUUUUGCAAUAAAAUGUUGAAUAUUUGCCAAAAAAUAACAUUAAUAAAAGUCUUACUUUAAAAUGCAAAUGAAACCAAAUGUGGCAGCACACACCUGUAGUCCCAGCCCUCUGAGCAACUGCAGCAGGAGGAUCACAAGUUUGAGUCCUGCCUGGGCAACUUAACAAGAGCCUGUCUCAAAACACAAAAUAAAAAAAGCUGAAGAUGUAGAAUAGUGCAAAGGCCCUAGGUUCAAACCCUAGUACUACCACUAAAAAAAAUUGCAAAUGACAGAGAAAUACACACAGCAAAGUUGACUUCUAUGCUCUGGAAGUUUGAGCUAAUUAUUUCUAAAAUUAUUCAGGUGCUUUCACAUUUACUACCUAAAUUUUCUUUUGUUGUUGCGAUUUUUGCCAUGGCAUUCACUAAAAUUUGUUUCUUUAAAUAUUUUUUCUUAGGCUUCAUGUUGCAUAUAAAUGUAAAUUUUUGUCAUGUAGAUUGUCUCGUUUAACUUCCCUCAAAUAUCCAGCUGGCAGCUGAAUACCUCAAUUUGGAUUUCCCACCAACAUGUGCCACACUUACAUGUGCAGUUCAGAACCAGCAUGUGCAAUGCCGUGGUACCUUGGUUCACAAACUUAAUGUGUUUUAUGAUUUGGGGGAAGAUGGCUGCGUUUGUGUUUGUGUGGGGAACAUGACCAUGGUUGUGUUACCCAAUGUGGAGUUUGUGAACAGAAGCAAAGUCUUAUGUUACCACUUGUACAAUUCCUCUAUGGUUGGCUAUCACCCUUGGGUUACUGAAAAGCAUGGCAUGGCAUUCAAAUCUUUGUCCCUCAUUGUUCGUCUUGCUCCCCAGCCCAUAUCUCAUUGCUUCAUGGACUCUGAUCACUCUGAGCCACUUGAUAUUCCAUACCACUCAUGGGGAGCCCACACAUAGACACCAACAUGCUUUUGCACACACUUUUCCCUCAGCCUGAGUUGUUCUCCAUCCCAUCUGGCCUGGAGACCUUCUCUUCACCCUUCUAGUCCAAACACAGUCACUCAUUGUGUACUUGCAUUGUUUCUUGUGCAAAUAAUAGGGCAGAACAUCUGGCCAAAGGCUCCUGAUGGUCCAGCUGAGAAGUAGUGCAGAAGACUAGAUGAUGGCCAGGGAAAUGGAGUGGGCAGAGUCUAGGGUGGUGAUGGCAAACCUUUUAGAGCUUUCAAUGAUAACAAACAGCUGGCUGCAGCAUGCAUGUCAUAGAUUCUCCUCCACUAGUCUAGGGCAUACUCUUUGUGUAGAGUUUUCUAGACCUUCUGAUGGGUUGGCUGUGGGGACAAGAGGAGAGAAGAAAUCCAAAUCAGAGCAGGCAGCUCCAUCAGCAGGAACAAAUUACAGGGAAAACUACACCCUGGGACCCAACUUCAGUAAUUAUCACCUCUGUGUCAGUCUUGUUCCUUUACACCCCAACCUCCUUCCUCCUGCUGCCCAGCCCCACCCACACAAUGGCUUAUUUUGAAGCAAGUGCCAGACAUUUUAUAAUUUCACCUGUAAAUAUUAUGUCUGUAUUUCUAAAAUAAAAGAACUCUUUUUAAAAAAACAUAAUACCAUUAUCAUUUCUAAAAAAAAUUACUGAAGAAUGUAAACAAACAAAACUAAUACUAGUACUUUAUAUCAUUGGGUAUACGGGUAUACAGUACAUUUAGCAAUUACGUUUUCCCAAUGUGUUAUUUGUUGUUGGUUGUUUGUUUGAAAUGGAAUCUAAAUUGGCCUAUAGACAGUAUUGAUUUGUUGCUGUGUUUCCUAACUCCCUUUUAAUCUCUUCCCCCCUUACCUUUGUCUCUUCCAGUUUGGUUGUUGUCAUUAGUAAUGUUGCUGUCACUGAAGAAACUGGAUGUUCGUUCUGUACAAUGUUAGAAUUUCCUGAUUGCAUCACUGUGGUGUUGUUUAACUUGUUCUUGUGUCUCCUCUAUUUCCUGAGAAUUUAUUUUAUCAGAAACGGGAGUUUUGUUGCUGUUGUUGCCUUGGGGAAGGUCAGCAUGACCAUUUCAUAGAUGGUGUUUUAUAUGUUCAUCAAGAAGCUUAUCAUGUCUUAUUAUCUAUUUUUGUGAUGUUAGCAACCAUCAAUGUUUAUUACCUAUAUCUAUUCAUUUAUUAGACCUGUCAAAGUGGCAGUAUUCUGAUUGUAUCUUUUUUUUCUUCAUUUUCUGAGUGAGAUGUUCUGGAAAGAGGACAGUUCAUACAGAAAAAAUAGUAGAAGCUAUGUGUUUUAUAUUCCCCUUCAUAUACCAAUUUUCUAAAUAAUGAGUUGUUCCCAGGGGCCAGGGAUGUAGCUCAGUGGCAUUGUGCUUGCCUCGAAAGCCCAAGGUCCUGAGUUUGAUCCCUGGUACUGGAAAAAAAAAAGAGUUAUUCCCUGUCAUCUUCCAAAGGUCAUGAAUGAAUGAAUGAAUUUACUUUUAUUUUAUCAUUAAUAUUAUUAAGGGAUUACUUGCUAAAUAUGUUUAUAUGUAGAUUGCAGUUAUAUUUAUUGAUAUCUAAAUUAUUCUGUCUUUGGUCAAUGGAAGCCAAAUCAAGUCAGCUCUAAACUACUUCUGAUAUGACCCUAAUUUCUUUUACAAGCUUCCUCCUUUCUGGUAUGUUUCAAGUUCAUCUUGUGUAUUUCCUGCUGCAGACCUGGAAUCAGCCAUUUCUCUUAGAAUUUCCAGGUUCCUUUCAAUGGGAAAUAUUGUUUAGAGACCACAAUCUGGGCAGUAAGUACACUCAUCGCUUCUCAGCUAGUUACUAUUUACAGUGGGCAAAGACAGAAUAUGUGUGUGUGUGAUUUUUUAAAGAAAUUGCAUGUCCAAUUCAAAUUCAGGAUAACCAUGGAUAUCCAUAAAGUGUCUUCUUUCUCCUGUGACGAAAAUCUCAAUUCUAAACAAUCCCAAUGUAAUUUCCAGUUUUCUCUAUUUCAUACUACACAAAAUCAACUUCAAAAUAAUUAGACAAAAACUAAAUUAACAAUAAACUAACUAUAACAGUUCAGUUUUUUUUCUUUGUCUUUCAGGUACAUCCCACUGCGGAUUAUUGUCAAAUUAAUGUAUUAUAGGAUCACUGAGAAUAGUUCCUCUGUGUGUGGCUACACCACCAACUGGUUACAUAGUUAAUUUCACUUACUUUGCUUUACAUUUUUAAUAGUUCCUUCUUAUAACUAUGAAAAUAUUUACCUGGUUGCAAAGUCAAAUAAAUCUACAAACAAGGUACAUUAAAAGCCUCAUUCUCUUUCUCUACAAUAUUAAAACAUGAUUUAUCCUCUUUCUUUUUAUAUGAGAAAAUAUCUCUACAUGCUUGUAUUCCUCUCCUCUUAGAGAAAUGACAGCAUACUAUAAACACUUCCUCCUCCUGUUUUCACUUAAUAGUACUUCUUAGUGGUAAAUACCAGUCUUUGAUUUGGGCUCUGGUUCACGGUACUUAAAUUUUCAGCAGAUAGCUGCAGGUUCUCACUCCUCUCUCACUCACGUGCCACAUGCGAACUGUCAUGGUUUAACUUCAGAAUCCAAGGCCUGACCCCUCUCACCACUCUCCUCUACCCUGCCAGAGCUGUCAGCUCUUACUGGAACCAUUGCAGUAGCUCCUCAUCACUGCUCUCCUUCAUCUACCCUCAGUGCCCUCAGGUCUGUUCUCAGCGAGUCAAAAGAGCCAAAGUCUUACUCACCUUUGGGAGCUCGCACCUCAUCCUUUUCUCUCCCCACUCCACUCUGGCCACACUUGCAAUGGCUAGUGGGCUCAUCCUCCUUGUAUCUGCAAUGCUCACUCUCUCGCCCCCUUCAAAUUGUUCUUCAAAGUAGCACCUUCACGGUGAACUUUACUCUUCCCCCUUCUAAAAUUGCAGCCUGACCCAUCCCCACCUCAGCUUUCCUUUGGCCUCCUCUAUUUUCCCAUACUACUUAUUACCUUCUGUCAUGCUGAAGAAUGGUUAUUGUCCAUUCAUUUAUUGUUCUCCACUGGAAUGUACAUUCUACAGGGUAUGGAUCUUUAUCUGUUUUGCUCACUAAUAGAUCCCCACUGCCUAGAAAAGUGCCUGGCACAUAAUAGGCACUUAGUAAAUAUUGUUGAAUGAAUGAAUAAAAACUUUCUUAACUUCAACUGAUAAAGUUACCAAACUGUGGCCUAGUGUUACAGGAAUAUUCAGAACCACAAUGACCAUCUGACCCAUAGGAGAACAAGGACCCUUUUCCAGUGACCAGAACAUUACUUCUUCCUCUGCCAUAUCCUGAGGCUCUGCAUAUGAGAGUUGAUGAGGGUCAUGUGAUACUUUUCUACUAUCACACAGCUGAAAGAUAAUAACAACUUACUAUUUAUAUGGUUUAUUAUGUUAAUGUAAGUUUUACAUAUACUAAUUAAGUCAUUUGAUCAAUAAAACAAUCCAGCAAAGACCGUUUUAUGAUUUUGCUCAUUUUAGAAAUGAAGCCACUGAAGCACAAAUAGAUUUUUUUUUAAUUGCUUAUAACUAAUAAUUUAUUUAUGGUAGAAUUAGGACCAGAAUCUCCAGGGAGUUUGGCUCUAGAACUCAUGCUUUCAAUUAGUACUAUCCAACAGGUUUUGGGCAAUGAUAGCAAUGUUCCCUAUCUGUACUGUUCAGUAUGGUGGCGCUAAAGCAGUGAUGGUGAACCUUUUAGAGACCAAGAGCCCAAACUGCAACCCAAAGUCCAUUUAUUUUUUGUAAAGUGCCAACACUGCAAUUAAACAUGAAUACUGAGAGUUUAGUUUAGAAAAAAAACACCUCAUACCCUUGGCUUGCAUUCCAACAGAGAGGGCUCUGUGUGUCCACUGCGGCACAUGUGCCAUAGGUUCACCACCACUGGCCUAGAGUCACAAGUGGCUGUUGAACAACUGUAAUGUGACUAAUUCAAGUGGAACUCAAUUUCUAAUUGUACUUAGUUUUAAUUUCAGUUUAAAUAAGAAUAUGUCAUUACUGUGUGGAAAGCUCAACUUUAAGCCAAUAUAGUCUUGUGCUUUUUAGGUAUGAUUGACAGAAUAUCAAAGAAGUUGUAUAAGGGUUUGUUGCAGUUGUUCUUCAAAUCCAAGGGUACAUCUUUGUGGGAUUCUAAGAAAUGGCUAGAGCCAAUGAACUUUAAGUCUCCCAGUGUCAUCUAUAACUUAUGGAACAUAUGGCUCUCUAAUUUCCAAGCAUUCUUAGAACAAAAAGAAAAACCAUAAAGAGUAUGUUGUCCAGAUACAUUAUGUUCCUUUUUGUUGAAAGAAAUAGAGGAUUAAAUUGUUCUGACUCUAAUUUGUCCUUAUUUAAGUGCAUACUUGUGAAGAUAAAAAUAAAGUUAAUCAUAAGAGGUAGAACAUGACAUUGCAGGUUCAAUUGAAAAUUGCAAGUUAUAUUUCUAUUGAUGUUUAAAUUAUAUUUUUUAUUUUUGAAAAAUAUAUAAACUAAUUUUUAAAAAAAGAUGGGAAAAGACUAGACAAAUUUUACCAUCUGGAAU
RNAcentral lists this long non-coding RNA (9633 nucleotides) under Heterocephalus glaber (naked mole-rat). RNAcentral describes it as "lncRNA (ENSHGLG00000043985.1)". The record is from RNAcentral. Lineage: Eukaryota; Metazoa; Chordata; Mammalia; Rodentia; Bathyergidae.